Molecule: ribosomal RNA, 362 nt
Filed under: Clostridioides difficile
Lineage: Bacteria; Bacillati; Bacillota; Clostridia; Peptostreptococcales; Peptostreptococcaceae
Description: bacterial LSU rRNA
Rfam family: Bacterial large subunit ribosomal RNA
Source: RNAcentral
UACAUAGCUUAAUGAGGGGAACUCAGGGAACUGAAACAUCUAAGUACCUGAAGGAAGAGAAAGAAAUUCGAUUCCGUAAGUAGCGGCGAGCGAACGCGGAUUAGCCCAAACCAAUAAAGUUUUCUUUAUUGGGGUUGCGGACAUAUCAUAACGAAGAGGUAUCGUAAUUGAAGAGGUUUGGAAAGACCCACCACAGAAGGUAAUAGUCCUGUAUGUUAAACGAGAAGACUUUAGAUAUGAUCCAGAGUACCACGGGACACGUGAAACCCUGUGGGAAGCAGGAGGGACCACCCUCCAAGGCUAAAUACUACCUAGUGACCGAUAGCGUAUAGUACCGGGAGGGAAAGGUGAAAAGAACCCCG